RNAcentral lists this ribosomal RNA (497 nucleotides) under uncultured bacterium. Its description in RNAcentral is "partial 16S ribosomal RNA". It matches the Rfam family "Bacterial small subunit ribosomal RNA", at positions 28 to 507 of the family's 1533-position model. The record is from RNAcentral.
GAUGAACGCUGGCGGCGUGCCUAAUACAUGCAAGUCGAGCGAACAGACGAGGAGCUUGCUCCUCUGACGUUAGCGGCGGACGGGUGAGUAACACGUGGAUAACCUACCUAUAAGACUGGGAUAACUUCGGGAAACCGGAGCUAAUACCGGAUAAUAUAUUGAACCGCAUGGUUCAAUAGUGAAAGACGGUUUUGCUGUCACUUAUAGAUGGAUCCGCGCCGCAUUGGCUAGUUGGUAGGGUAACGGGUUACCAAGGCAACCAUGCGUAGACGACCUGAGAGAGGGAUAGGCCACACUGGAGCUGGAACGCGGACAAGGGUCCUGCGAGAGGCACCAGAAGGGAACGUGCGGCAGUAGGGGGAAACCUGACGGAACGACGCGACGCGAGUUGUAGAGAUGUUGGGAGCGGAAAAAUCUGUUAUGAGGUAAAAACAAAUGUGUAAGUAAAUGUGCACGGCUUGACGGUACCUGGUCAGGAAGCCACGGCUAACUACGUG